UGAGGAAUAUUGCACAAUGGGCGCAAGCCUGAUGCAGCAACGCCGCGUGAGGGACGAAGGCCUUCGGGUCGUAAACCUCUUUUCUGGGGGACGAGUAAGGACGGUACCCCAGGAAUAAGUCUCGGCUAACUACGUGCCAGCAGCCGCGGUAAAACGUAGGAGGCGAGCGUUAUCCGGAUUUACUGGGCGUAAAGCGUACGCAGGUGGCUUCGUUAGUCGGGCAUGAAAGCUCCUGGCUUAACUGGGAGAGGUUGUUCGAUACUGCGGGGCUUGAGGUUGGGAGAGGGACGUGGAAUUCCCGGUGUAGUGGUGGGAUGCGUAGAUAUCGGGAGGAACACCAGUGGCGCAAGCGGCGUCCUGGCCCACACCUGACGCUGAGGUACGAAAGCGUGGGUAGCAAACAG
Molecule: ribosomal RNA, 404 nt
Filed under: uncultured bacterium
Lineage: Bacteria
Description: bacterial SSU rRNA
Rfam family: Bacterial small subunit ribosomal RNA
Source: RNAcentral